Molecule: ribosomal RNA, 397 nt
Filed under: uncultured bacterium
Lineage: Bacteria
Description: partial 16S ribosomal RNA
Rfam family: Bacterial small subunit ribosomal RNA
Source: RNAcentral
AUACGUAGGUGGCAAGCGUUGUCCGGAUUUACUGGGUGUAAAGGGCGCGUAGGCGGUUAUCCAAGUCAGGGGUGAAAACCUUGGGCUCAACUCAGGGCCUGCCUCUGAAACUGGGUAACUUGAGGGCAGGAGAGGGGAGUGGAAUUCCCAGUGUAGCGGUGAAAUGCGUAGAUAUUGGGAGGAACACCAGUGGCGAAGGCGGCUCUCUGGCCUAACCCUGACGCUGAGGCGCGAAAGCGUGGGGAUCAAACAGGAUUAGAUACCCUGGUAGUCCACGCCGUAAACGAUGGGUGCUAGGUGUAGGAGGUAUCGACCCCUUCUGUGCCGUAGUUAACACAAUAAGCACCCCGCCUGGGGAGUACGGCCGCAAGGUUGAAACUCAAAUGAAUUGACGGGG